RNAcentral lists this ribosomal RNA (374 nucleotides) under uncultured bacterium. RNAcentral describes it as "bacterial SSU rRNA". It matches the Rfam family "Bacterial small subunit ribosomal RNA", at positions 524 to 898 of the family's 1533-position model. The record is from RNAcentral.
UACGUAGGGUGCAAGCGUUAAUCGGAAUUACUGGGCGUAAAGCGUGCGCAGGCGGUUCGGAAAGAAGGAUGUGAAAUCCCAGGGCUUAACCUUGGAACUGCAUUCUUAACUACCGGGCUAGAGUGUGUCAGAGGGAGGUGGAAUUCCGCGUGUAGCAGUGAAAUGCGUAGAUAUGCGGAGGAACACCGAUGGCGAAGGCAGCCUCCUGGGACAACACUGACGCUCAUGCACGAAAGCGUGGGGAGCAAACAGGAUUAGAUACCCUGGUAGUCCACGCCCUAAACGAUGUCAACUAGCUGUUGGGGCCUUCGGGCUUUAGUAGCGCAGCUAACGCGUGAAGUUGACCGCCUGGGGAGUACGGUCGCAAGAUUAAA